This 60-nucleotide transfer RNA is filed under the name Gammarus wautieri. RNAcentral describes it as "tRNA-Phe". The record is from RNAcentral. Lineage: Eukaryota; Metazoa; Arthropoda; Malacostraca; Amphipoda; Gammaridae.
GCUUAAAUAGCUUAAUAAGAGUGUUACAUUGAAGAGGUAGAGGUGAGUUUUCUUUAAGUA